Molecule: long non-coding RNA, 997 nt
Organism: Armigeres subalbatus
Lineage: Eukaryota; Metazoa; Arthropoda; Insecta; Diptera; Culicidae
Exons: 3
Source: RefSeq, a predicted model, not a curated record
UGUCCGAAACAUGUGUGCUGGUACCUAACUGUCAAAUCGUAUGUAUUUUUCCUUCAUUGACAUUGAGAUCCCCUAUUUUCGCCAGCAAAAGAUGUUCCGGACAGCGACGACAGCGACAAUGUUUAUCUUGUAACUAAAAUAUCUUUUGGCCCGCCCGAUAUUUACGUGGUGGAUUUAAACUAUACGCCACGUCCAAGCAAGUACGGUAGUAAAUCUCCUUCUUAAAUGAAAUCGCUCAUUAAGUACUUUCGUUAUGACGGCGUUUUUAUUUCUGUACUCGCAUCUUUUUAACACCAUGUCCACGCCGCGGAGUUCAAGGACGCUACGACGGCCUUAGCCGUUAUAACACGUCGACAAUAAUUCCCUUUUCCAACUAGGUCUUACUACCAUGACACAAGUUCUUUUAUUAACUGCGAUCAAUUUUAUAAACCAUCUGCCUUGAGCAUGAACACGUCCUGUAGCCGCAUAUCUUAUCGUUAACAGAAGGCACAGAACCAUUUGAUGUUUGUCAUAUUUGUUUUCAACAAAUUGGCAUUAUCAAAUGUUUGGCUUGGUUUUAAUGUAAAUAACCAUGGGAUGAAUUCCAAAUCGUCGAAUGUCAAAAAUCGGAGGAAUACCAGGAGGUACCAGGAAUACUGGCGAUUGCGAGUGAGAUCUUUGAGAUAAUGCGAUUUGACAUGAAGUUCACCUCAUAGUUCACAAUUAAAGGAUCUGAUGUAGCUGAUCCUUUCUGCGGCAUAUCAAAGCUCCCAGACACUUGGAAGAUCUGGAGAAGCAUUAUAGUGGAGGAUAUGUACUGUAUACAUUAUGUAAAAUGCUGCCUAAUAGGUUUCUUCUAUUUAGAUCGGCAGUUAUUGGAUUCCCUGUUGCCUUAGAACUCAGGCUGUAAAAUUUAAUGGAAAAAUGAAUUGUAUCUAAAUAAUCCCGAAUAUCCCUUAAUAUUAAAUAAAUAUAUACGAAUAAAAAAAUCAACAUUGACAUGUUUUAAAAAGCAAUG